Molecule: ribosomal RNA, 253 nt
Filed under: uncultured bacterium
Lineage: Bacteria
Description: partial 16S ribosomal RNA
Rfam family: Bacterial small subunit ribosomal RNA
Source: RNAcentral
UACGUAGGGGGCUAGCGUUGUCCGGAAUCAUUGGGCGUAAAGCGCGUGUAGGCGGUCCGGUAAGUCCGCUGUGAAAGUCGGGGGCUCAACCCUCGAAUGCCGGUGGAUACUGUCGGGCUAGAGUGCGGAAGAGGCGAGUGGAAUUCCAGGUGUAGCGGUGAAAUGCGUAGAGAUCUGGAGGAACACCGGUAGCGAAGGCGGCGUCCUGGACCAACACUGACACUGAUGAGCGAAAGCCAGGGGAGCAAACGGG